UCGAAACCUGCACAGCAGAACGACCCGCGAACUUGUUUACCAACCACCGAGGGGGGGGGGCUUGCCUCGUCCCCUCGGAGCCGGAACGCGCCUUCUCCCAAUCCCGGUCAAACGGGUGGCUUGAUGGCGCGCGAAGGCAAGUACCCAAACACCGGCGCGGGUUGCGCCAAGGACUGUGAAAUUCUACCGCGUCUUGUGGCCCCGGGUGACCGGGUGCUGCGACGGCGCGUUGAAAAAUAUAUAACAAAACGACUCUCGGCAACGGAUAUCUCGGCUCUCGCAUCGAUGAAGAACGUAGCGAAAUGCGAUACUUGGUGUGAAUUGCAGAAUCCCGUGAACCAUCGAGUCUUUGAACGCAAGUUGCGCCCGAAGCCAUCCGGCUGAGGGCACGUCUGCCUGGGCGUCACGCAUCGCGUCGCCCCUCCCCCUCCACUGUUGAGCGGAGAGAGGGGCGGAGUAUGGCCCCCCGUGUGCCCCCGCGCGCGGCCGGCCUAAACACGGAGCCCGUGGCCGCGAGUGCCGCGACGUUUGGUGGUUGAAUCUCGAGCAUCGCGUCGCGUGCCGGAGCGUACUCGGAGAGCUCGAAGGACCCUUAGGCGUAGCAGCCUACCCUUGCGACCCC
This 622-nucleotide ribosomal RNA is filed under the name Eriogonum hoffmannii subsp. robustius. Its description in RNAcentral is "eukaryotic LSU rRNA". The stretch from base 251 to 406 matches the Rfam family "5.8S ribosomal RNA". The record is from RNAcentral. Lineage: Eukaryota; Viridiplantae; Streptophyta; Magnoliopsida; Caryophyllales; Polygonaceae.